AACCCGGGCAGAUUCGGCAGGA
RNAcentral lists this non-coding RNA (22 nucleotides) under Arabidopsis thaliana (thale cress). The record is from RNAcentral. Lineage: Eukaryota; Viridiplantae; Streptophyta; Magnoliopsida; Brassicales; Brassicaceae.